UGCCUCUAUAGUGUAAUUAACACAUCGGUUUUUCGUGCCGGCGAUGGACAGUUUAGGUUCUAGAGGUAA
Molecule: transfer RNA, 69 nt
Filed under: Tridacna noae
Lineage: Eukaryota; Metazoa; Mollusca; Bivalvia; Cardiida; Cardiidae
Description: tRNA-Glu
Source: RNAcentral